RNAcentral lists this unclassified non-coding RNA (378 nucleotides) under uncultured bacterium. RNAcentral describes it as "contains 16S-23S intergenic spacer region". The record is from RNAcentral.
UCUGGCUUAUAGCUCAGCGGUCCCACUAGAGUGCCCAACUUAAUGCUGGUAACUAGUGGCGAGGGUUGCGCUCGUUGCGGGACUUAACCCAACAUCUCACAACACGAGCUGACGACAGCCAUGCAGCACCUGUCUCCACGUCCCCGAAGGGAACCCCGACUUUCACCGGGUAGCGUGGGAUGUCAAGCCUAGGUAAGGUUUUUCGCGUAGCAUCGAAUUAAACCACACGCUCCGCUGCUUGUGCGGGCCCCCGUCAAUUCCUUUGAGUUUUAGCCUUGCGGCCGUAGCCCCCAGGCGGGGCACUUAUCGCGUUUGCUUCGGCACCGGGGGGGUCGAUACCCCCGACACCUAGUGCCCAUCGUUUACGGCGUGGACUAC